This is a long non-coding RNA of Prionailurus viverrinus (fishing cat), 1226 nucleotides long. RefSeq lists it as uncharacterized. The transcript is spliced from 2 exons. Lineage: Eukaryota; Metazoa; Chordata; Mammalia; Carnivora; Felidae. The record is from RefSeq and is a predicted model, not a curated record.
CAUUGACUCCACAUGGUGAAAGAAAUCACACCUCACAGUUUUUGAGUGUCAUGCCGAGAAUUAUGCUGGGGCUAGGAUUUAAUGGCCAUGCCAGGAAUUGGAAGCAGCACCUGUGGACCAGAAUUUAAAUCCCAUGGACGAUUUUUCCUGAUGUUUUUAUAGAGCAUGAAUGAGGAUGUAAUUUAAAAAUAAGCCCUGCAUCCUAUUUAAAAAGAUAAGAAGGAGCUGGAUGUGUGUAAAUGUUUGGAUUAAACAUGACCAAAGACUGCACUGUAUUUAAAUGGCUUGGCACUUUAAACAUGAUGGAAUCAGGCUUCAUAAUGGUGCAAGCAUCUACCUAAUGGAACUAAAUUUGCAAUACAGGUGCAUAGUGGAAAAGAAGGACAGACAAGUGGCACUGAGAAUCUAAGUGAGACGGCAUCAAAGAAUGAAACAUAUUGAGUUUAAUGAUUGACCUUAUUGGAGGCUUUCUGCUCUGACAAUGAAGAUGUGAAUUAUCCUAUUAUUAUAAGCAGAUGGAUCAUCUUAUUAAUGCACCCUAGCCUUUCACAUUUUUAUUUAACUUUAAAUUAAAUCGAACAAUUUCAGUACCAUCCCUUAAAGGAAGCAGAAGAUGAUUCUAGAAAUAUUUUCUGUGGAACUUUAAUAUAUUUUUGUCUUUCCAGAGACACACUUUCAGCUCUGCUACACUAUAAUGCUUUGGCUUUCAUUUGGAUAUAGCCGAGGUGUCUUGGAAAUUUCUCCGUAAAUUCCUUCAAAUCCAGAAGAGCUGAAAGAGAUUCUAGGAGCCUGUGCUUCUCUUAAUGAUUCCACAUGGAACAGCAUCUUUGGAAUUCUGAUUCUGACAUCGUCAGCCACUUGAUAGCCAGUGCUACAAGGAGCAGCAGAGGAGCCAUAAUCAAAUGUUUUCUGAAUUCAUCCUCAGUACAACUCUCCCCUGAAACCAAAAUUAGGCAGCAAAGUAAUAUUUGUUUAGAAACACUUACCAGGCACCUGCUUAAUACUAUAAAUGCUAUCCUGGCAAAAUCUUCACACACAAAGGAAAUAUCUCACUGGAAGGCCAAUAUCUGCAACUACUGAAAAGAACAGAGCUGUUUCAAACUCACCGACAAAGGCUUCUGUCUUAGCCCCUAUUCCACUCUCAUUUUUUUUUCUUUUUGGUUUUGUUUCCUUUCAGCAUAUUUUAGGAACUAAUCAGCUUUAUAAAAGGUACCACUGUUAAUCUA